Molecule: long non-coding RNA, 241 nt
Organism: Balaenoptera ricei (Rice's whale)
Lineage: Eukaryota; Metazoa; Chordata; Mammalia; Artiodactyla; Balaenopteridae
Exons: 3
Source: RefSeq, a predicted model, not a curated record
CUGAGAAAUGUUGAUCUUCAUGAAGCCUGGCCAUCAUCAGCUCCCCAUACAGGUCCCUGCUGAUCGAACCAAGGGCCCCCUGCAGUGGAAGCAUGGAGUCUUAACCACUGGACCGCCAGAUUUGCAGCCGAGCUCCUGACCAGACAAGCAGGUCCCCUGUUGAAAGCAGCCAGCCAGGGGCCGUCUCUACAGCAUCCUAAAUCAGCAGUGACCCCUUUAUUCCCACCCAGAGUUGCAACAA